GCUGCAGAUACCAGGCACCACAGCCUGGGAGAAUCCCCAAGUACAGUAAAGUAAGUAAAAUGUGGAUACUUCAGAUUGAGGUGUUAAGUUUACCCUUAAUAACAUAAAAGGGAUGUUGUGCCAAAACUGAGGUGAUUUAAAGUUAGUUUUAUUUUUUGAAAUCAGAAUAUAGACUUCCGCAAGCCUGGAAGUUGUCUUGGACAAGACAUGCACUUGUACGAUCUCCUCUCUGCCCUUCUUUGCAGCCUGUGGUGAGCAGAAAACGAUUGUGGUAGAAAGGCUCAGCUCAAAAAAUUACACUGGGGGAAGAAAUGAUGGAUGGAGUUUGCCCCAGUGCCUACCAGACUUGACUGCUGGUGCCCUGGAUGAGGUUCCCAGCACACACAAAAAGAGUUCAAUUAAAAAAAAAAAAGAGUUCAAUAGAUGUGUAUUGAGGAUGGAGAGACUUACUGCCCUGGGUCAGCCAUGGAGUCAGAUCCCACGGUUGGUGGAGCAGUGACUGUGUCACUUGAAAAUAAUGAAUGUGCUUCUGGUUAAUUUUCCUGGUGGCAAGUGAGUUCUGGUCUAGGGAAUAAAGGGAAUCUUGGAGUGGGGGAGAGAAGGACAUCCUUUCUCUCUGGAGCUGGGGGAGAUGGGUCUGGGAGUCACAUGGGAAUGCAUUUGAGGUGCUCCUGGUAGGGGAGCACAGCAGAGUGAGUCAGUGUUGGCAAAUGAAUAUAAGUUGGAAGAGUAAAGGAAUUGGUUUCUUAAAAAGUUUUCCAGUUUGGAUGAGGACCUGUGGGCUCAAGAUUGGUAGUUAGUCUUUUGUUAUUUCUCACAGUGAUAUUUGUUGAAGCAUUAUUUGUAAUAACAACACACACAGACAUAGAUACCAAUAGAGAGAAGAAAAGCUAAAUGAAAUAUAGAAUAUUUAUACUACAGAAUAACAUACAUCAGUUAAAAACAAUGAGGUAGAGCUACAUUUAGGUCCUAUGGAGCUGGAUGUUGUGAUCUCUGAGACUCAUGUGACAAAACAAGUCAGAGCACAGUAUGUAUUACUCAUAAACAAAAUACCUUUUUGCAUUUAUAUAUUUUUAACAUAUAAAUGCAUAGAAAAUAUGCUGAAGAAUUUAAUGUAGCCGUUAAUAGCGAUUACCUCCGGGAGGAGUGUGUUUAGAGAAGAAGGGAGGGAACUUCUUUCUUUUACUCAAUCUAGUUGUAUUUAUUGAAAUCUUUUUUUUUAUUGAAAUGUUUUAAUUGGCGAUUUAUUCAUAGUACACAUAUAAUUAAAGUAAAAGGGAAAAAGAGAGACAUUACCGAAUUUUGUAGUUUCAUGCUGAUGAGAC
Molecule: long non-coding RNA, 1325 nt
Filed under: Heterocephalus glaber (naked mole-rat)
Lineage: Eukaryota; Metazoa; Chordata; Mammalia; Rodentia; Bathyergidae
Description: lncRNA (ENSHGLG00100039216.1)
Source: RNAcentral